This 444-nucleotide ribosomal RNA is filed under the name uncultured bacterium. Its description in RNAcentral is "partial 16S ribosomal RNA". It matches the Rfam family "Bacterial small subunit ribosomal RNA", at positions 338 to 795 of the family's 1533-position model. The record is from RNAcentral.
CCUACGGGUGGCAGCAGUGGGGAAUAUUGGGCAAUGGGCGCAAGCCUGACCCAGCGACGCCGCGUGAGGGAAGACGGUCUUCGGAUUGUAAACCUCUUUCAGCAGGGAAGACAAAAGGACGGUACCUGCAGAAGAAGCCACGGCUAACUACGUGCCAGCAGCCGCGGUAAUACGUAGGUGGCAAGCGUUAUCCGGAGUGACUGGGUGUAAAGAGUUGCGUAGGUGGCAUAAUAAGUAGCUAGUGAAAUCUGGUGGCUCAACCAUUCAGACUAUUAGCUAAACUGUUAAGCUCGAGACCGUUAGGGGUAACUGGAAUUUCUAGUGUAGGAGUGAAAUCCGUAGAUAUUAGAAGGAACACCAAUAGCGUAGGCAGGUUACUGGGACGGUUCUGACACUAAGGCACGAAAGCGUAGGGAGCAAACGGGAUUAGAUACCCGGGUAGUC